RNAcentral lists this ribosomal RNA (433 nucleotides) under uncultured bacterium. Its description in RNAcentral is "partial 16S ribosomal RNA". It matches the Rfam family "Bacterial small subunit ribosomal RNA", at positions 29 to 507 of the family's 1533-position model. The record is from RNAcentral.
AACGAACGCUGGCGGCAUGCCUAACACAUGCCAGUCGAACGAGACCUUCGGGUCUAGUGGCGCACGGGUGCGUAACGCGUGGGAACCUGCCCUUAGGUUCGGAAUAACUCCCCGAAAGGGGUGCUAAUACCGGAUAAUGUCUUCGGACCAAAGAUUUAUCGCCUUUGGAUGGGCCCGCGUUGGAUUAGAUAGUUGGUAGGGUAAAAGCCUACCAAGGCGACGAUCCAUAGCUGGUCUGAGAGGAUGAUCAGCCACACUGGGACUGAGACACGGCCCAGACUCCUACGGGAGGCAGCAGUGGGGAAUAUUGGACAAUGGGCGAAAGCCUGAUCCAGCAAUGCCGCGUGAGUGAUGAAGGCCUUAGGGUUGUAAAGCUCUUUUACCCGGGAUGAUAAUGACAGUACCGGGAGAAUAAGCUCCGGCUAACUCCGUG